CCAGACUCCUACGGGAGGCAGCAGUGAGGAAUAUUGGUCAAUGGGCGGGAGCCUGAACCAGCCAAGUCGCGUGAGGGAAGACGGCCCUACGGGUUGUAAACCUCUUUUGUCGGGGAGCAAAGCGAACCACGUGUGGUUCAUUGAGAGUACCCGAAGAAAAAGCAUCGGCUAACUCCGUGCCAGCAGCCGCGGUAAUACGGAGGAUGCGAGCGUUAUCCGGAUUUAUUGGGUUUAAAGGGUGCGCAGGCGGAGGUGCAAGUCAGCGGUCAAAUUGCGGGGCUCAACCCCGUACUGCCGUUGAAACUGGCAGUCUCGAGUUGGAGAGAAGUAUGCGGAAUGCGCGGUGUAGCGGUGAAAUGCAUAGAUAUCGCGCAGAACUCCGAUUGCGAAGGCAGCAUGCCGGCUCCACACUGACGCUGAGGCACGAAAGCGUGGGUAUCGAACAGGAUUAGAUACCCUCGUA
RNAcentral lists this ribosomal RNA (463 nucleotides) under uncultured bacterium. Its description in RNAcentral is "bacterial SSU rRNA". It matches the Rfam family "Bacterial small subunit ribosomal RNA", at positions 331 to 792 of the family's 1533-position model. The record is from RNAcentral.